Molecule: ribosomal RNA, 446 nt
Filed under: uncultured bacterium
Lineage: Bacteria
Description: partial 16S ribosomal RNA
Rfam family: Bacterial small subunit ribosomal RNA
Source: RNAcentral
CCUACGGGGGGCAGCAGUCGAGAAUCAUUCACAAUGGGGGAAACCCUGAUGGUGCGACGCCGCGUGGGGGAAUGAAGGUCUUCGGAUUGUAAACCCCUGUCAUGUGGGAGCAAAUUAAAAAGAUAGUACCACACGAGGAAGAGACGGCUAACUCUGUGCCAGCAGCCGCGGUAAUACAGAGGUCUCAAGCGUUGUUCGGAAUCACUGGGCGUAAAGCGUGCGUAGGCUGUUUCGUAGGUCGUGUGUGAAAGGCGCGGGCUCAACCCGCGGACGGCACAUGAUACUGCGAGACUAGAGUAAUGGAGGGGGAACCGGAAUUCUCGGUGUAGCAGUGAAAUGCGUAGAUAUCGAGAGGAACACUCGUGGCGAAGGCGGGUUCCUGGACAUUAACUGACGCUGAGGCACGAAGGCCAGGGGAGCGAAAGGGAUUAGAUACCCCAGUAGUC